Molecule: ribosomal RNA, 459 nt
Filed under: uncultured bacterium
Lineage: Bacteria
Description: partial 16S ribosomal RNA
Rfam family: Bacterial small subunit ribosomal RNA
Source: RNAcentral
CCUACGGGUGGCAGCAGUGAGGAAUAUUGGUCAAUGGGCGGAAGCCUGAACCAGCCAAGUAGCGUGCAGGAUGACGGCCCUACGGGUUGUAAACUGCUUUUAUACGGGAAUAACGCGCCUUACGUGUAGGGCUUUGCAUGUACCGUAUGAAUAAGGACCGGCUAAUUCCGUGCCAGCAGCCGCGGUAAUACGGAGGAUGCGAGCGUUAUCCGGAUUUAUUGGGUUUAAAGGGUGCGUAGGCGGACUGUUAAGUCAGCGGUAAAAGCCCGGGGCUCAACCCCGGCGAGCCGUUGAAACUGGCUGUCUUGAGAUGUCGAGAGGUAUGCGGAAUGCGCAGUGUAGCGGUGAAAUGCAUAGAUAUCACGCAGAACUCCGAUUGCGAAGGCAGCAUACCGGCGCUCAACUGACGCUCAUGCACGAAAGUGUGGGUAUCGAACAGGAUUAGAUACCCUAGUAGUC